This 1019-nucleotide ribosomal RNA is filed under the name uncultured dinoflagellate. Its description in RNAcentral is "SSU rRNA". It matches the Rfam family "Eukaryotic small subunit ribosomal RNA", at positions 727 to 1769 of the family's 1831-position model. The record is from RNAcentral. Lineage: Eukaryota; Dinophyceae.
GUCUGCAGAUAGCUGCGCCGGCCUUUUACUUUGAGAAAAAUAAAGUUCUUCCAAGCAGGCGUACGUCAUGGAUAUGUGAGCAUGGAAUAAUCAUAUAUGCCUCGGCUCAGAUUUUGUUGGUUUCCAUUGCUGAGGUAAAGGGUUGUAGGGCCAGAGGGGGGCACUCGCAUUUAACUGUCAGAGGUGAAAUUCUUGGAUUUGUUAAAGACGGCCCAGUGCGAAAGCAUUUGCCAAGAAUGUUCUCGUUGAUCAAGAACGAAAGUUAGGGGAUCGAAGAUGAUCAGAUACCAUCCUAGUCUUAACCAUAAACGAUGCCUACUAGAGAUCGGAGGUUGUUCAAUUUGCGACGCCUUCAGCAUCCUAUGAGAAAUCGAAGUCUUUGGGUUCUGGGGUGAGUAUGGUCGCAAGGCUGAAACUUAAAGGAAUUGACGGAAGGGCACCACCAGGAGUGGAGCCUGCGGCUUAAUUUGACUCAACGCGGGGAAACUUACUAGGUCCAGACACAGUAAGGAUUGACAGACUGAUAGAUCUUUCGUGAUCUUGUGGGUGGUGGUGCAUGGCCGUUCUUAGUUGGUGGAGUGAUUUGUCUGGUUAAUUCCGUUCACGAACGAGACCUCAACUCACUAAUUAGCCACGCCAAUCUUAGGAUAGGUGGGGUGCUUCUUAGAGGGACUUUGUGCUUCUAGUACAAGGAAGAUUGAGGCAAUAACAGGUCUGUGAUGCCCUUAGAUGUUCUGGGCUGCACGCGCGCGACACUGAUUCAUCCAUCGAGUUUGCGCCUUGCCCUAUAUGGUCGGGCACUCUUCUGAAACUGCAUCGUGUUGGGGAUAGAUUAUUGCAAUUAUUAAUCUUGAACGAGGAAUUCCUAGUAGGCGCGAGUCAUCAACUCGUGCUGAUUAUGUCCCUGCCCUUUGUACACACCGCCCGUCGCUCCUACCGAUUGAGUGCUCCUGUGAACAAUUUGGAUUGCGGCAGUCUCCAGUAUUGGCACCUGCUGUAGGAAGAUUUGUGAAUGCAAC